AUUGAACGCUGGCGGCAUGCUUUACACAUGCAAGUCGAACGGUAACAGGCCGCAAGGUGCUGACGAGUGGCGAACGGGUGCGUAAUGCCUCGGAACGUGCCCAGUCGUGGGGGAUAACUACUCGAAAGAGUAGCUAAUACCGCAUACGAUCUAUGGAUGAAAGCGGGGGACCGUAAGGCCUCGCGCGAUUGGAGCGGCCGAUGUCAGAUUAGGUAGUUGGUGGGGUAAAGGCUCACCAAGCCAACGAUCUGUAGCUGGUCUGAGAGGACAACCAGCCACACUGGGACUGAGACACGGCCCAGACUCCUACGGGAGGCAGCAGUGGGGAAUUUUGGACAAUGGGCGCAAGCCUGAUCCAGCAAUGCCGCGUGCAGGAAGAAGGCCUUCGGGUUGUAAACUGCUUUUGUACGGAACGAAACGGCUCUGGUUAAUACCCGGGGCUAAUGACGGUACCGUAAGAAUAAGCACCGGCUAACUACGUG
This 482-nucleotide ribosomal RNA is filed under the name uncultured bacterium. RNAcentral's name for it is "partial 16S ribosomal RNA". It matches the Rfam family "Bacterial small subunit ribosomal RNA", at positions 30 to 507 of the family's 1533-position model. The record is from RNAcentral.